GUUUAGAAUAAUGUUUGAGGAAGAAAGUGCUGCCUUGUGGCACUAUAAUUAUAGCUUUGCCUCACUAAUUCCUGAACCAAAAUAAAUCUUACAAAGCACAAAUUAACAGAAUCUGCAGUCCAUGGAUGAACAUUCUCAAUGACAAAAAGAGGGUGCCUGAGGAAUAAUAUUAUUACUGGUUCUGUUCUAGAGUGGAGCUUAAACCUGCUGUGAAAUCACAUUUAUGGUCAGCUGGUGCCAGGGGAAGAGUGUGUCUUUGGUCAGAGUGUAGAAGAUUUUUAUUAAUAAGAUUUUCUAUUAAUCAAGUAUAAUCAAGGUGAAUUUAGCCACAUAUGUCUAUAGUUAUUAUUCCAUUAUAAUCCUAUGGUUGUAGUAUAGGAAAAAAGAUGCCUACGUGACCAGAAUGUCCAGACCCAGAUGAGAUCUGGGGAGACCAACAAAAGGGCCUUUCUCCUUACCAGACCAAAUAGGAGGCCCCUUCUCUCUGGGGAUCGAAUUGUAAGCCUAAGGAAAAUUAUGGAAUUUUGGGAACGCCCUGUAUAUGGUAUAUAAGGAGAUACCACAUAACAUUCAGGAGAUCUUCUCGCAGAGAACAUCUCGGCUUUGUUUCUCUCUGAAAUAAAGUCUAUCUUCUGGAAACAAAACCCCAAGACUGAGUGUGAUCCCUCAGAUCCAUGGCAGCAGACACGACACUACAAGAGCCUGAAAUGCCAACUCCUGUUAACAUCCAAAGUGCUACUUUCAGAGAAAGUCAGAUGGCGUGCAAAUGUGGUGGACCUCAAGCUGUGUCGCUAUGAGCAUUGCUGGAGGGCAGCAGCAAUAUGGAAGACUGAAUUAAAGACAAAGUGAGAAAGAGAGAGAGGUUGACAAGGUCUCUGUGUAUUUCCUGCAUUCUAAUCCACAAGUUCACCUGUUGUCUUCCUAUCUAAGUCUGUAUAAGCACCGGUCCUUCUUUAGCCAAGACAUAUGGAAUUAAACAAAGAAUACAAACGUGUUCAAACAUCCUGUUGAUGUGAACAAAUAUUUCAGUCCCUCAGAGACUCUGAGAUGUGGAUUGUCAUGGGCAGGAUUUUAAAUCUUCCUAUAAGCUGAAAAUCUGCAGCAAGCACCUGUCCAGAUGGAUGUGCUUAUAAUAAUU
This is a long non-coding RNA of Cyprinus carpio carpio, 1138 nucleotides long. The record is from Ensembl. Lineage: Eukaryota; Metazoa; Chordata; Actinopteri; Cypriniformes; Cyprinidae.